UGCGUAGGCGGCUUUUUAAGUCGGAUGUGAAAUCCCUGAGCUUAACUUAGGAAUUGCAUUCGAUACUGGGAAGCUAGAGUAUAGGAGAGGAUGGUAGAAUUCCAGGUGUAGCGGUGAAAUGCGUAGAGAUCUGGAGGAAUACCGAUGGCGAAGGCAGCCAUCUGGCCUAAUACUGACGCUGAGGUACGAAAGCAUGGGGAGCGAACA
This 207-nucleotide ribosomal RNA is filed under the name uncultured bacterium. RNAcentral describes it as "partial 16S ribosomal RNA". It matches the Rfam family "Bacterial small subunit ribosomal RNA", at positions 568 to 774 of the family's 1533-position model. The record is from RNAcentral.